GAUGAAGAACGCAGCGAAAUGCGAUAAGUAAUGUGAAUUGCAGAAUUCAGUGAAUCAUCGAAUCUUUGAACGCACAUUGCGCCCCCUGGUAUUCCGGGGGGCAUGCCUGUCCAAGCGUCAUUACAACCCUCAAGCCCAGCUUGGUGUUGGGCCCCGCCGCCCCGGCGGGCCCUAAAGUCAGUGGCGGUGCCGUCCGGCUCCGAGCGUAGUAAUUCUUCUCGCUCUGGAGGUCCGGUCGUGUGCUCGCCAGCAACCCCCAAUUUUUUUCAGGUUGACCUCGGAUCAGGUAGGGAUACCCGCUGAACUUAAGCAUAUCAAUAAGCGGAGGA
This 329-nucleotide unclassified non-coding RNA is filed under the name soil metagenome. Its description in RNAcentral is "partial contains 5.8S ribosomal RNA, internal transcribed spacer 2, and large subunit ribosomal RNA". The stretch from base 1 to 120 matches the Rfam family "5.8S ribosomal RNA", at positions 35 to 154 of the family's 154-position model. The record is from RNAcentral.